AAAGGAAUAGACGGGGGCCCGCACAAGCGGCGGAGCAUGCGGAUUAAUUCGAUGCAACGCGAAGAACCUUACCAAGGCUUGACAUGCACCCAGAGCCCUCAGAGAUGGGGGUGCAUUUGGUUGGGGGUGUGCAGGUGGUGCAUGGUUGUCGUCAGCUCGUGUCGUGAGAUGUUGGGUUAAGUCCCGCAACGAGCGCAACCCUUGCCCUAUGUUGCCAGCACGUUGUGGUGGGGACUCGUGGGGGACUGCCGGGGUUAACUCGGAGGAAGGUGGGGAUGACGUCAAAUCAUCAUGCCCCUUAUGUCUUGGGCUUCACGCAUGCUACAAUGGCUGGUACAGAGGGUUGCGAUGCUGUGAGGCGGAGCGAAUCCCUUAAAGCCGGUCUCAGUUCGGAUUGGGGUCUGCAACUCGACCCCAUGAAGGUGGAGUCGCUAGUAAUCGCAGAUCAGCAACGCUGCGGUGAAUACGUUCUCGGGCCUUGUACACACCGCCCGU
RNAcentral lists this ribosomal RNA (495 nucleotides) under uncultured bacterium. RNAcentral's name for it is "bacterial SSU rRNA". It matches the Rfam family "Bacterial small subunit ribosomal RNA", at positions 903 to 1397 of the family's 1533-position model. The record is from RNAcentral.